AGAGUUUGAUCAUGGCUCAGAUUGAACGCUGGCGGCAGGCCUAACACAUGCAAGUCGAGCGGAAACGACAACAUUGAAUCUUCGGAGAAUUUGUUGGGCGUCGAGCGGCGGACGGGUGAGUAACGCCUAGGAAAUUGCCUUGAUGUGGGGGAUAACCAUUGGAAACGAUGGCUAAUACCGCAUAAUGCCUACGGGCCAAAGAGGGGGACCUUCGGGCCUCUCGCGUCAAGAUAUGCCUAGGUGGGAUUAGCUAGUUGGUGAGGUAAUGGCUCACCAAGGCGACGAUCCCUAGCUGGUCUGAGAGGAUGAUCAGCCACACUGGAACUGAGACACGGUCCAGACUCCUACGGGAGGCAGCAGUGGGGAAUAUUGCACAAUGGGCGAAAGCCUGAUGCAGCCAUGCCGCGUGUAUGAAGAAGGCCUUCGGGUUGUAAAGUACUUUCAGUUGUGAGGAAGGGUGUGUAGUUAAUAGCUGCGCAUCUUGACGUUAGCAACAGAAGAAGCACCGGCUAACUCCGUGCCAGCAGCCGCGGUAAUACGGAGGGUGCGAGCGUUAAUCGGAAUUACUGGGCGUAAAGCGCAUGCAGGUGGUUCAUUAAGUCAGAUGUGAAAGCCCGGGGCUCAACCUCGGAACUGCAUUUGAAACUGGUGAACUAGAGUGCUGUAGGGGGGGGUAGAAUUUCAGGUGUAGCGGUGAAAUGCGUAGAGAUCUGAAGGAAUACCAGUGGGCGAAGGCGGCCCCUGGACAGACACUGACACUCAGAUGCGAAAGCGUGGGGAGCAAACAGAUUAGAUACCCUGUAGUCCACGCGUAAACGAUGUCUACUUGGAGGUGUGCUUGAGUCGUGCUUCGAGCUACGCUAGUAGACGCUGGGGAGUACGUCGCAGAUUAAACUCAAA
This 900-nucleotide ribosomal RNA is filed under the name uncultured bacterium. RNAcentral's name for it is "bacterial SSU rRNA". It matches the Rfam family "Bacterial small subunit ribosomal RNA", at positions 8 to 905 of the family's 1533-position model. The record is from RNAcentral.